RNAcentral lists this ribosomal RNA (844 nucleotides) under uncultured Bacteroidota bacterium. RNAcentral describes it as "bacterial SSU rRNA". It matches the Rfam family "Bacterial small subunit ribosomal RNA", at positions 32 to 875 of the family's 1533-position model. Lineage: Bacteria; Pseudomonadati; Bacteroidota. The record is from RNAcentral.
AACGCUAGCGGCAGGCUUAACACAUGCAAGUCGAGGGGUAACAGGAGGUGCUUGCACUUCGCUGACGACCGGCGCACGGGUGCGUAACGCGUAUACAAUCUACCUUUUGCUGAGGGAUAGCCCAGAGAAAUUUGGAUUAAUACCUCAUGGUAUGUAGUAAUGGCAUCAUUAUUAUAUUAAAGGUUACGGCAAAAGAUGAGUAUGCGUUCUAUUAGCUAGAUGGUAAGGUAACGGCUUACCAUGGCGACGAUAGAUAGGGGCCCUGAGAGGGGGAUCCCCCACACUGGUACUGAGACACGGACCAGACUCCUACGGGAGGCAGCAGUGAGGAAUAUUGGACAAUGGGCGCAAGCCUGAUCCAGCCAUGCCGCGUGCAGGAAGACUGCCCUAUGGGUUGUAAACUGCUUUUAUACAGGAAGAAACACUCCCUCGUGAGGGAGCUUGACGGUACUGUAAGAAUAAGGAUCGGCUAACUCCGUGCCAGCAGCCGCGGUAAUACGGAGGAUCCAAGCGUUAUCCGGAAUCAUUGGGUUUAAAGGGUCCGUAGGUGGAUAAUUAAGUCAGAGGUGAAAUCCUGCAGCUCAACUGUAGAAUUGCCUUUGAUACUGGUUAUCUUGAAUUAUUAUGAAGUAGUUAGAAUAUGUAGUGUAGCGGUGAAAUGCAUAGAUAUUACAUAGAAUACCAAUUGCGAAGGCAGAUUACUAAUAAUAUAUUGACACUGAUGGACGAAAGCGUGGGGAGCGAACAGGAUUAGAUACCCUGGUAGUCCACGCCGUAACGAUGGUCACUAGCUGUUUGGACUUCGGUCUGAGUGGCUAAGCGAAAGUGAUAAGUGACCCACCUG